Molecule: ribosomal RNA, 497 nt
Filed under: uncultured bacterium
Lineage: Bacteria
Description: partial 16S ribosomal RNA
Rfam family: Bacterial small subunit ribosomal RNA
Source: RNAcentral
GAUGAACGCUGGCGGCGUGCCUAAUACAUGCAAGUCGAGCGAACAGACGAGGAGCUUGCUCCUCUGACGUUAGCGGCGGACGGGUGAGUAACACGUGGAUAACCUACCUAUAAGACUGGGAUAACUUCGGGAAACCGGAGCUAAUACCGGAUAAUAUAUUGAACCGCAUGGUUCAAUAGUGAAAGACGGUCUUGCUGUCACUUAUAGAUGGAUCCGCGCCGCAUUAGCUAGUUGGUAAGGUAACGGCUUACCAAGGCGACGAUGCGUAGCCGACCUGAGAGGGUGAUCGGCCACACUGGAACUGAGACACGGUCCAGACUCCUACGGGAGGCAGCAGUAGGGAAUCUUCCGCAAUGGGCGAAAGCCUGACGGAGCAACGCCGCGUGAGUGAUGAAGGUCUUCGGAUCGUAAAACUCUGUUAUUAGGGAAGAACAAAUGUGUAAGUAACUAUGCACGUCUUGACGGUACCUAAUCAGAAAGCCACGGCUAACUACAUG